Molecule: long non-coding RNA, 524 nt
Organism: Bactrocera tryoni
Lineage: Eukaryota; Metazoa; Arthropoda; Insecta; Diptera; Tephritidae
Exons: 3
Source: RefSeq, a predicted model, not a curated record
AAGCAAAGUCGCAGAAGUGCAGAUAAACAACCAAAUGAAGCAAUUGCAUGCAACUGUUUUGUUCUACGGCUAAUCACAUAAGCAACCAACAGAUGUGAUAGCCGGCGCAACAGUUGGUUAUUUCAUCAGAGUCUGGAACGUUCUGCAGGGGAUUUGAUAAUAAGAUCCAGAUUUUAUUAAAAACCAAGUAUCAUCAUGGAAGCCUCCAUUUGAAUGCCGCUCUUAAGUCAAAUACGUACAUGAUUGAAAUAUAAAAUUCUGUUAGAAAAAGCUAUUUUUCAUAAAAAUGUUUGGAAAUUGUUAAUGUUAAUGUAUACUAAAAGAAAGAUAGUUUAAUUAUCUUUUAAUCCAUAAUGAAUUAAAAAAAAUUCAUUUAUUUUGUAAAUGCUUCAAGGCUAUAUUUAUUGGUUUAUGCAAGUCAAAAGUACAUGUCGAAAUACAAAAUGUUGUUAGCAUGGGCUUUGUUUUAUAAGCAUGUUUAAAAAUAUACAAUGUUAACGCAUAUGAAAAUGGAGAUAGUUCAA